This 438-nucleotide ribosomal RNA is filed under the name uncultured bacterium. RNAcentral's name for it is "partial 16S ribosomal RNA". It matches the Rfam family "Bacterial small subunit ribosomal RNA", at positions 338 to 795 of the family's 1533-position model. The record is from RNAcentral.
CCUACGGGUGGCAGCAGUGGGGAAUAUUGCACAAUGGGGGAAACCCUGAUGCAGCGACGCCGCGUGAGUGAAGAAGUAUCUCGGUACGUAAAGCUCUAUCAGCAGGGAAGAAAAUGACGGUACCUGACUAAGAAGCCACGGCUAACGACGUGCCAGCAGCCGCGGUAAUACGUAGGGGGCAAGCGUUAUCCGGAUUUACUGGGUGUAAAGGGAGCGUAGACGGCCGCACAAGUCUGGAGUGAAAUCCCGGGGCUUAACCCCGGAACUGCUUUGGAAACUGUGCGGCUGGAGUGCAGGAGGGGUCAGCGGACUUCCUGGUGUAGCGGUGACCUGCGUAGAUAUUAGGCUCAACACCGGUGGCGCCGGCGGCUUACUGGACUGUACCUGACGUUGCGGCUCUACAGCGUGGUGAGCAAACCGGCUUAGAUACCCGUAGUC